Molecule: long non-coding RNA, 268 nt
Filed under: Vigna radiata
Lineage: Eukaryota; Viridiplantae; Streptophyta; Magnoliopsida; Fabales; Fabaceae
Description: long non-coding RNA (VRAD_LNC011446)
Source: RNAcentral
GAGAGAUGAAUGAAUGAUACUUNCUUAGCAUGUAUAGUUGUGUACGUUUGCUUAUUCACUUUCUCUAUUAAUCAGAACUUCGACCAAAAUAUAGCUACUGCAAGACCCAUCUAAUAUGGUUAACAAUGAACCAUUACACAAUCCAUUCACCAACAGAGAUGGAUAACCCUUUUCCUUCACACACAACACAACAUCUUCAUCAUCACCCUUCCUCUGUAACCUGAAAUCUCUAGCCCCCAUUCUCGUCUUGAACUAGUGAUCUCCACCC